GCCGGGGUGGCGGAAUUGGUAGACGCGCUGGACUUAAAAUCCAGUGGCCGCAAGGUCGUGCGGGUUCGAGUCCCGCCCCCGGCACCA
Molecule: transfer RNA, 87 nt
Filed under: candidate division WWE3 bacterium
Lineage: Bacteria; candidate division WWE3
Description: tRNA-Leu
Rfam family: tRNA
About the family: Transfer RNA (tRNA) molecules are approximately 80 nucleotides in length. Their secondary structure includes four short double-helical elements and three loops (D, anti-codon, and T loops).
Source: RNAcentral